RNAcentral lists this ribosomal RNA (1712 nucleotides) under gut metagenome. Its description in RNAcentral is "bacterial LSU rRNA". It matches the Rfam family "Bacterial large subunit ribosomal RNA", at positions 211 to 2025 of the family's 2925-position model. The record is from RNAcentral.
GCGAGGAAAAGAAAUCAACCGAAAUUCCGCUAGUAGUGGCGAGCGAACGCGGAAGAGGCCAAACCGAGAGUAGAAAUAUUCUCGGGGUUCGGACAGUGUAGUGUAUUGAUGACGGUUAGCAGAAGGACAUGGGACGGUCCACCAGAGAGAGUGAUAGUCUCGUACGCGAAAACCGAAGUCAGCCAACUGUAUCCAGAGUACCGCCGGACACGUGAAACCCGGUGGGAAUAUGGGGGGACCAUCCUCCAAGCCUAAAUACUCCCUGGUGACCGAUAGUGAACAGUACUGUGAAGGAAAGGUGAAAAGAACCCCGGGAGGGGAGUGAAAAGAACCUGAAACCUUGUGCUUACAAGCACACAAAGCACGUCAAAGUGUGAUGUGGUACCUUUUGUAGAAUGGUCCGGCGAGUGAAUGUAACCGGCGAGGUUAAGUGUUUAAGACACGGAGCCGCAGCGAAAGCGAGUCUGAAACGGGCGUUUCAGUCGGUUGUAUUCGACCCGAAACCGGGUGACCUAGCCAUGUCCAGGCUGAAGUUAAGGUAAAACUUGAUGGAGGGCCGAACCCACUCCCGUUGAAAUGGUAGGGGAUGAGGUGUGGCUAGCGGAGAAAUUCCAAUCGAACCCGGAGAUAGCUGGUUCUCUCCGAAAUAGCUUUAGGGCUAGCCUCGAUCGAACAUUACCGGAGGUAGAGCACUGAAUGAGCUAGGGGCCGAGAGGUUACUGAACUCUAUCAAACUCCGAAUGCCGGAUAAUGAUGAUCGGGAGUCAGACUAUGGGAGAUAAGUUUCAUAGUCAAAAGGGAAACAGCCCAGACCCACAGCUAAGGUCCCAAAGUAUGGUUAAGUGGAAAAGGAUGUGGAGUUGCACAGACAACCAGGAUGUUGGCUUAGAAGCAGCCACUCAUUAAAAGAGUGCGUAAUAGCUCACUGGUCGAGUGGCUCUGCGCCGAAAAUUUAACGGGGCUAAACCAUACACCGAAGCUUGGGAUGUACUAAGUACAUGGUAGGAGAGCGUUGAAUGCGGGAAGAAGUCAUAGCGAAAGCGGUGGUGGACUGCAUUGAAGUGAGAAUGCCGGAAUGAGUAGCGAGAUUUAUGUGAGAAUCAUAAAGGCCGAAUGACUAAGGAUUCAGAAGGAAGGUUCGUCCGCUUCUGGUUAGCCGGGAGCUAAGGUGAGGCCGAGAGGCGUAGCCGAUGCACAUACGGUGGAGAUUCCGUAGCCGCCGAAAGACAGAGGGACACUUUGGAAGCGUUGUUGCCGGGCGAUGGUCGCCCCGGUCGAAAGGGACCGAAGACAAGUAGGGAAGAACAGCGUGGACAGAGGCAAGAAAAGCUCUGUGAAUUAAAAGGCGCCCGUACCGCAAACCGACACAGGUAGUCAGGAAGAGAAUUCUAAGGCCAACGGGAGAAGGGUAGUUAAGGAACUCGGCAAAUUGACCCCGUAACUUCGGAAUAAGGGGUGCUCCUGAGAAGGAGCCGCAGUGAAAAGGUCCAGGCGACUGUUUAUCAAAAACACAGGUCUCUGCUAAAUCGAAAGAUGAAGUAUAGGGGCUGACACCUGCCCGGUGCUGGAAGGUUAAGAGGAGAGGUGCAAGCUUUGAAUCGAAGCCCCAGUAAACGGCGGCCGUAACUAUAACGGUCCUAAGGUAGCGAAAUUCCUUGUCGGGUAAGUUCCGACCCGCACGAAUGGUGUAACGAUCUGGACACUGUCUCAAC